Molecule: unclassified non-coding RNA, 384 nt
Filed under: Ficus pleiadenia
Lineage: Eukaryota; Viridiplantae; Streptophyta; Magnoliopsida; Rosales; Moraceae
Description: partial contains external transcribed spacer and 18S ribosomal RNA
Source: RNAcentral
UUUGCCCCAAAGAUUGAGCUGGCUCUUCUUGGUCACGACCCUUGGUUCCUGUGUUGCCUUCCCCAUCGUAUGGAAAAAUUCGUCAGGCAGCCCCGCACCUGUCCUCCUUGUGGCUUUGCGGCUGCAAUGCGGGCCUCGAAAGCAGUCCCCGUGUCCCGRACAUAUCCUCUGACUUUCGUCGUGGCUGUCUCGGUCCAYAGGACAACUGCUCGUGCUCCCGGAUGUGGAAAAUUAAGCGGACGUGGGGGGGUCUCNGCCUCCGGUUGCUCCAAUCAAGUCCCUCGAUAAGAAUGACUMUCGCUACCCCAUCGAUCRCAGGCCSUCCAGGCCCGUGGCAUCGAUGCGGGUCCGAAGUCGAUAAAGAAUGCUACCUGGUUGAUCCUG